This 728-nucleotide ribosomal RNA is filed under the name uncultured Pseudomonadota bacterium. Its description in RNAcentral is "bacterial SSU rRNA". It matches the Rfam family "Bacterial small subunit ribosomal RNA", at positions 56 to 758 of the family's 1533-position model. Lineage: Bacteria; Pseudomonadati; Pseudomonadota. The record is from RNAcentral.
UGCAGUCGUACGAGAACGUCCCGGCUUGCCGGGAUCAGUAAAGUGGCGCACGGGUGAGUAACACGUGAGUAAUCUGCCUUCAAGCUUGGAAUAACACUGCGAAAGCGGUGCUAAUACCGAAUAAGACCACGGUAUCAUAUGAUACAGUGGGAAAAGAUGGCCUCUGUUUCAUGCUAUCACUUGAAGACGAGCUCGCGGACCAUUAGCUUGUUGGUAGGGUAAUGGCCUACCAAGGCCCAGAUGGUUAGCUGGUCUGAGAGGAUGAUCAGCCACACUGGAACUGAGACACGGUCCAGACUCCUACGGGAGGCAGCAGUGGGGAAUAUUGCGCAAUGGGGGAAACCCUGACGCAGUGACGCCGUGUGAGUGAUGAAGGUUUUCGGAUCGUAAAGCUCUGUCAGAUGGGAAGAAUAAAGGCAGGGAAAAUAUUUCUGCCUGAUGACGGUACCAUCAGAGGAAGCACCGGCUAACUCCGUGCCAGCAGCCGCGGUAAUACGGAGGGUGCAAACGUUGUUCGGAAUUACUGGGCGUAAAGCGCAUGUAGGCGGAUAUGUAGGUCAGAUGUGAAAUCCCUUGGCUCAACCAAGGAAGUGCAUCUGAAACCACAUAUCUUGAGUAUGACAGAGGGAAGUGGAAUUUCCAGUGUAGAGGUGAAAUUCAUAGAUAUUGGAAAGAACACCGGUGGCGAAGGCGGCUUUCUGGGUCAUAACUGACGCUGAGAUGCGAAA